RNAcentral lists this ribosomal RNA (484 nucleotides) under uncultured bacterium. Its description in RNAcentral is "partial 16S ribosomal RNA". It matches the Rfam family "Bacterial small subunit ribosomal RNA", at positions 30 to 507 of the family's 1533-position model. The record is from RNAcentral.
AUUGAACGCUGGCGGCAGGCCUAACACAUGCCAGUCGAGCGGAUGAAGGGAGCUUGCUCCUGGAUUCAGCGGCGGACGGGUGAGUAAUGCCUAGGAAUCUGCCUGGUUGUGGGGGAUAACGUCCGGAAACGGGCGCUAAUACCGCAUACGUCCUGAGGGAGUAAGUGGGGGAUCUUCGGACCUCACGCUAUCAGAUGAGCCUAGGUCGGAUUAGCUAGUUGGUGGGGGAAAGGCCUACCAAGGCGACGAUCCGUAACUGGUCUGAGAGGAUGAUCAGUCACACUGGAACUGAGACACGGUACAGACUACUACGGGAGGCAGCAGUGGGGAAUAUUGGACAAUGGGCGAAAGCCUGAUACAGCCAUGCCGCGUGUGUGAAGAAGGUCUUCGGAUUGUAAAGCACUUUAAGUUGGGAGGAAGGGCAGUAAGUUAAUACCUUGCUGUAUUGACGUUACCAACAGAAUAAGCACCGGCUAACUUCGUG